Long non-coding RNA from Dunckerocampus dactyliophorus (ringed pipefish), 1360 nucleotides. RefSeq lists it as uncharacterized. NCBI's taxonomy places the organism in Eukaryota, Metazoa, Chordata, Actinopteri, Syngnathiformes, Syngnathidae. The record is from RefSeq and is a predicted model, not a curated record. The transcript is spliced from 4 exons.
CGUCAGCGCCAAGACACCCCCUCCAUUGCUUCUGUGUUGUGGUGGCUCGUUCUUUGUUGAAUUUAUGUUGUUGUUAUAUAUCUUUUUUUUAUAUUAUGCCUGAGCGUUUAGUGGUAGGCUCUUGCUCAAACACCCGCGUGUAGGAGUAAGCUUGUUCACGUUUCCAAAAGACCCAAUUCACCGCGAUACCGACCGCGUUACAGACCGGGUGCGAGACGGCAAUACACAAAGUCAAACACCCAGAUGUUCAACCGUGGAAAAGCGUGCCAAGAUGACAUGAACAAGCGAAGACAGCUCUGGCUUUGCAAACUGAUACAGUGCCAGCCGACAGUGCUUCAACACUUAUUGUCUUGAAGAGCCACACAGGGAUGCUGCAACCCAGGUACCAAGGAUGCCCAACAGGUGUAUAGUGUGCAUUUUCCCAAAUAAAGGAAAGGUGACUACAUCGUCAGGAAAGUUUUGGACAAUGCCGCUUUUGAAUAUGUCAAGAAACUUAUGACCAGUGUUGAAGACGUUUGUUGCAGCAAGGACUACCUUGGAGACGACAAAGAGGACCUGUUGUGUGUUCAACACGCUCACUUGCCACUGACUGCUGCAAACUGUCACAAAGACGCUGUGAGAUCGUAUGUAAAUCCGGUUCAUGAAUGGAACAUGAAAACAGUUUAAACACAAAUAAUAUAUAUAUAUUUUCUUUUUUAAGAGCAAGAACAAUAUCUGUGACAAAUAGCAAAUACUGGGAUCAUUGGUCACCAAAUCCCACAUGAUCGACUGAAAAAAAAAAUCCUGAUUGCACUUAAAUCAAUUAUUAUGCCCUAUAUUAUUAAUACAUUGUGCAUUGUUACAUACUCGUAUACAUACUAACUUGUUAGUAAGGAUGAUUGUGGAAUCAUGCAUGUCCAUAAUGAAUAUUUAUUAACAUGAACAAAGCGCUAAAACAUUUGAAAAAUGUGGUAACUAUUAUAAUAGGAUUAUUCUUUAUUUGUCACUUUCUUGUCUCUUCAAAUCGACAAAAAAGAGUGACACACACCUCCCACCCAUCAUUAAAAACCUCCUGAAGAACAGAUGCAUUUGCCACUGUUUGGUACAUUUAGACUUGCAAGGGAAAAAUCUCUGAGUGCUUUUUAUCCCAGCAGGUGUUAUGCAUAUCAGACAUUUAGCUGUGAGAGGACAAAAAAAUGUAAACUGACACGCACACAAGCACACGCGCACACACACAUUUAGUGUAAUAAUGACCAACAGGACUCCACAGGCUUCUCAGCAGGACUGGGACGACACAGAAGUAUGAAGGGACGACACAAUGAGGCGGAUUCUUUUUGGCAAUUGAAUGAAGAGAAGCGAUGGAAAAGGGUACAAGAAAUGA